This 1148-nucleotide long non-coding RNA is filed under the name Takifugu rubripes (torafugu). RNAcentral describes it as "lncRNA (ENSTRUG00000026244.1)". The record is from RNAcentral. Lineage: Eukaryota; Metazoa; Chordata; Actinopteri; Tetraodontiformes; Tetraodontidae.
GUUCAAAUGCCCCUCUUGUUUCCUGCAGGACGUCCUUCCGUCCCAUUCACACACAAGGACAUUUCACCCUCUCACGCCAGCGUGCCGGCCUCCUCUGAGGCUGCGGAGCGCUGAUACAUGUGAGUGAGUAAAACAGAGGACAUCUCGAGGGCACGUAAUACCACGCUGAGCCCGGUGCCAGUGAAAGAGGGGAUUAUUUCACAUGGCCAGCCGGAGAGAUGGGAGCCACACUAAGCUGCUGCGCGUCAUCCCGAGCAGGCCGGGGGCUGAGGAUCCAUCAAAACGGCAAUGAGCAUCUGUGCACACACACGCGGUGCUACGAGAGAGAGAAAGCAACAUUUUUGCUCAGGAGGACUGACUUGGCCAGGGCGUCACUGGCAGGAGAGGAAACAAAGGCCGUCACCACACGGAGCACCUCACAUACACUGGGUUUCCCAUGAGAAAAUCCAGAGAAAACAAACUUCUAUGCACCUAAACAAGGGCAAAUCUUCAAGGAAACUGGUGGAAAAACUCCUGAAAUGGUGGUGUUGGGUUGUCUCAUCUCACCCUGGGUACCGUCACCCUUAAAGCCACACUUGACCUCAGAAGUGACUUAUUCGUGUAUUACUGUAGAAUUCUCACCCAAUAAAACUACAAAUCCCAGGAUGCAGAAGUAAAGGCAAGUGAAAGGAAUAUUCCUUCUCUUUUUAUGUUAGAUGCAAACCUGCCUUUCGUGUGUUGUACUUGGAUAAAGAGAGUUAUAGCUGGAAUUGUCAGCGUUAAACCUUGUAUGUGUAAGAUUAUCUUGUGGCGGACACAUGGGGGGUGUAUCUCGCACCCAGGUGAUGCAUGGGGUGAUGGGCGUGAUUAGCCCUUGAUUUGAGGCACUGUUCGACGCACCAUUUAGUAUUGUCUGCUGGAUGCAGAAUAAAGACGUCCAAACCAUCUGCUCUGUCCGAGUCGUUCCUUGUCCUGCUACGACAGACAUGUCCAAAGUCCGGCCCGGGGGCCAAAUGCGGCCCAGGGUCAGUUUUCAUCCGGCCCGCAGCCUCUGUCAUAAAAUCAAUAAUGUCUGGCCCGCACAUAGAAUUAAUACAUUGGGCAGCAGUACUGUUACCUGCGCGUACUGAAUGCUGCCCUCUAGUGGGUAAAUGAGGAACCGCAAAUGA